RNAcentral lists this ribosomal RNA (440 nucleotides) under uncultured bacterium. RNAcentral's name for it is "partial 16S ribosomal RNA". It matches the Rfam family "Bacterial small subunit ribosomal RNA", at positions 338 to 795 of the family's 1533-position model. The record is from RNAcentral.
CCUACGGGAGGCAGCAGUGGGGCAUAUUGCACAAUGGGGGAAACCCUGAUGCAGCGACGCCGCGUGAGUGAAGAAGUAUUUCGGUACGUAAAGCUCUAUCAGCAGGGAAGAAAAUGACGGUACCUGACUAAGAAGCCCCGGCUAACUACGUGCCAGCAGCCGCGGUAAUACGUAGGUGGCAAGCGUUAUCCGGAUUUACUGGGUGUAAAGGGAGCGUAGACGGCAGCGCAAGUCUGGAGUGAAAUCCCAUGGCUUAACCAUGGAACUGCUUUGGAAACUGUGCAGCUAGAGUGCAGGAGAGGUAAGCGGAAUUCCUAGUGUAGCGGUGAAAUGCGUAGAUAUUAGGAGGAACACCAGUGGCGAAGGCGGCUUACUGGACUGUAACUGACGUUGAGGCUCGAAAGCGUGGGGAGCAAACAGGAUUAGAUACCCUUGUAGUC